Non-coding RNA from Oryctolagus cuniculus (rabbit), 3670 nucleotides. The record is from RefSeq and is a predicted model, not a curated record. Lineage: Eukaryota; Metazoa; Chordata; Mammalia; Lagomorpha; Leporidae.
UUUGAAACUCUGCGUUUUACAUAGAAAAAUAUGUGGGAUAGUAAAUGUGUAAUCUGUGUUAAUAAGCUUUCUUGUCAUGUUUUGUAGCUUUUAAAAAAGCUACCUUAGGGCAAGAAUCUACAGUUUAUAAUCAUAUAGAACAAGGAUCUGUCGUGGUCUGAAUUGUGUUCCCUCCCUCCAAACUCGUAGGUAAUACCCCCAAUACCUCAGAAUGUGGCUGUAUUUGGAAAUUCGCCCUUUGAAGAGUUAAUCAAGGUUAAAUGAGGUCAUUGGGCGGGCCCUAGUCCAGUAGAACUGGUGUCCUCAUUUGAAGAGGAAGAGACCUGAGCGGUGUAUGCGCACACAGGCAAGACCAUUCGAGGACACAGCAGGAAGGCAGCCACCUGCAAGCCAAGGAGAGAGGCCUCAGGAGAAACCAGCUGGCCACACCCUGAUCUUGGACUUCAGCCCCAGAAUUGUAAGCUGAUUAAAACUUGUUGAAGGAUCUUGAAGAGCACACAUGGGUAACAAAGGAUGAAAAAGAUAAUCGGAGAUGAAGAGAGAAGGCAGGCCAGGAUAACUGGCACCAGGAGGCUCAUAGCUUCCGUCUUAGAGAAAUCACAACACUCAGCCUUUGAAAGUAGACAAGAUAGUCUUUGGAGAAGAAAGGAUAUUGGUGAUUUAUUUGGACAGAAUGAGAGAAGAGAAGAUGGAGGAGAACAGAGAAAACUUAUUUUGAGCAAGAGGAGAGUCACAGGAUCCCUGUGAUGACAGUGGGCUCACACAUAUAUCCAGGAUGGCGUUUGCAUCUCAAGAUUCUUACCUGAAUUAAUCUGCGAAGUCCCUUUUGCCAUGGUAAGGUAAUAUAUAUAUACAGUUUCUGAGGAUUUGGGCCUGGAUGUCUUUGGAUAUCUGUACAUGAAUGACAGUCCUAAACUGUGUUGUGAUUUCUUCAUUUAAGAUAGCAUCAACAAACACAUUGUAUCCUAAACAUUUUAUUAUUAAAUUGUUGAUUUAGAACAACAGUGUUCUGUUUGAUCUAGAAUUUCAUAAAAAUAGGAAAGUAUAUUUGAGUUUUCAGUUAUAUUUUACUUAAUAUUAUGAUUUUAAGUUUCACCCAAGUUAUAUGUAAUUCAUUUAUUUUUAUUACUUUAAUGCUUUUUGUUUUUACUAUACUUAAAAUUAUUCUUCCAUUCUGUAGUUGAUGCAAAUAGUGUUACUAUGAACAUUUUUGUCUCCUGGUGCAAGAAUGUGCAUGGGUUUCUUUACAGUUUAUAUUUAGGAAUGGGGUAUCUAGAUUAUAGGAUUUAUUUUGGGGUAAAAUAAUGGUAAAUAAUUGUUGAAAUUAUUUUACAUUCCCACCAAAAGUGAAUAAAUAUUACAGGUAAGUUUUUUAAAGAGUAUUCAUAUUCUUGAAAGUGCUUUAAAAAUUUUGUUUAUUUUCAUUUUAUUUGAAAGGCAGAGGGGUAUAGAGACAGACGGAGAGAGAUCGUCCUUUAGCUGGUUUACUACCCAGAUGCCCACGCCAUCCAUGCCAAAGCCAGGAGCCAGAAUCUCAGUCUGGGUUUCUCACCUGGGUGGCAGGGACCCAAGAGCUUGAGCCAUCACCUGUGCCUUCCAGAUGUGCAUUAGCAGGAAGCUGGGAUCAGAAGCAGAGGAGCUGGGAUUCAACCCCAACACUUUGGUAUGGGAUAUGGGCAUCCUAAGUGGUGACUUAACUACUGUACCAAAUACCCACCCAAAGGCUAGAAUUUCUCUUUAACUCUGCCAGCAACCAAUAUGGCGAGUCUUGAAGGGCAUUUCCUCAUGCUUUUGACCAGAAAUUUUCUAGUUUACUUGUAAGCAUGAGCAUCUUUUUCUGAUCUUGGUCUACUGUGAAACCUCUUUAGUUUGCCCCUUACAGGACUUCUUAUCUAAUCAGCAGAUUAAUCCUUUGUUGAUUGGAUGCACUAUGAAUAAACUCUGCCAGGUUAUGGCUUGCCCUGUUAUUUGCUUUAUUACGUCUGGGAUAGCACAGAGGGUCACACUGUGAAAUCAGACUCGCAUGAAUCAGAGAAGUGCCCUUAUUAGCUUUGCUAAAAAAUUAAGGCGCCUGUGAAGCAGGGGCGCUGUGGACCCUCGGUGUUGCUUUUCAGAUUCUUGCAAUACCGGCUGACUCUGGGUUCAGAUUAAUACACGAUGUCUCAAAGCCACGAGUGAGAGUCACACCUCCCAUCCAGAAGGUCCAUCCAUGCACUGUAAAUUCAUAGAUCUCAUGUUUAUCCAGCAUGAUUGAUUUUAGGUUACUAGAUAGAUCCUGCUAAAAAGCAUCCCAUAGGUAAAGACUGUUCCAUUCACAAAUGUCAUCAUUUUUCCCCAGAUGUCUAUCAGUAGCAUGUAAACAAGAUUAGAGCGUGUUCUUUCUUUCAUUAGGUCUUUGCUCCCCGUUCCCCAGUGCAGGGCAGGAAUUACAGCCCAAGUGCAGAACCAUUUCUUUUUUCUUUUUUUAAAUUUAAUUCUUUAAAAUUUAUUUUUUAAGGAAUACAAAUUUCAUAAGUACAACUUUCCGAAUAUGGUUAGUCUUCCCACCAUAGCAGCCCUCCCUCCCACACGCUCACCCCUCCUCAUCCCCCCUCCGCCUUACCAGUCCCAUUUUCCAUUAAGAUUCAUUUCAGGUAACUUUGUACACAGAAGACCAAGUCUGUACUAAGUAAAGAUUUCAAUAAUUUGCACACACACACACACACACACAAACUAUUUGAGAACUGGUUUUACUGUUAACUCUCAAUACAACUCGUUGAGGACAGAGGUCCUGCAUGGGGAGUUAGUGCACAGUGACUAUUGUUAACAAUUAAAACUCUUAUGUAUGAUAUCAGUGACCACCUGAGGCUCUUGAAAUGAGAUGCCUAGGCUAUGGAAGACUUUAGAACCACUUAUUUUCCAUUGUCCAUGAUAUGUGUGGUGUAAGGUAAGAAUCAGUUUAUUUUUUCUCCAUAUGGAAGACCAGCACAUUUAUUGAAAUUUUUUUUCGCAGACUAUAAUCAAUAUGAUACUUAGUCUUCAAAAUAUGCAGCAUGUGGGGCUUACUUUAUGAAUUGCUAUGUGACCAAGUUUUGAAAUAUGUGUUGGAGAAAAUUAUUUUUUAAAAAAAUAAUGGUUUUAUUUUUAAAUUGACAUUAAAAUUGUAUAUAACUAUGGAGAUAGAGCAUGAUGUUUUGAAAUAUGUGUACAAUAGGAAAUGACUAGAGCAAACUAAUUAACAUAUGUUACCUCACCCGCUUAUGAUUUUUUUUUGUGGUGUGAGGACUACAAAUCUUCUCUCUCAGCAGUUUCCAAGUAUAUGAUACACUGUUAUCAUCUGCAGUCACUGUGUUGUACAAUAGAUCUCUUGAAGUUUGUGUAUUCUUUUUUUUUAAGAUUUAUUUAUUUGAAAGUCAGAGUUACACAGAGAGAGGAGACGCAGAGAGGGAGAGAGAGAGAGAGAGAGAGAGAGAGGUGUCUUCCAUCCACUGAUUCACUCCUCAAUUGGCCGCAAUAGCCAAGCUACGCCGAUCCGAAGACAGGGACCAGGAGCUUCUUCCAGGUCUCCCACUUGGGUGCAGGGGCCCAAGGACUUGGGCCAUCUUCUACUGCUUUUGCAGGCCAUAAUAGAGAGCUGGAUGGGAAGUGGAGUAGCUGGGACUUGAACGGGCACCCAUAUGGGGUGCAGGCA